AAUGAACGUUGGCGGCGUGGAUUAGGCAUGCAAGUCGUGCGGCAAGGAAGACUUCGGUCUUCCCUAGAGCGGCGAAAGGGAUAGGAACACAUAGAUACAUGCCUCUUAGCCCGGGAUAGCGUUUGGAAACGAACGAUAAUACCGGACGCCCUCUCCGGAGGAAAGGUGAGAUUCCGCUAAGAGAUUGGUCUAUGUCCUAUUAGCUAGUUGGUAAGGUAACGGCUUACCAAGGCGAUGAUGGGUACGGGGUGUGAGAGCAUGACCCCGAUCACUGGGACUGAGACACUGCCCAGACGCCUACGGGCGGCUGCAGUCGAGAAUCUUCGGCAAUGGACGAAAGUCUGACCGAGCGACGCCGCGUGUAUGACGAAGGUCUUCGGAUUGUAAAGUACUGUCGAUUAGGCGGAAAUGAAUUGGGGCCAUCCCUUAUUUUGACCUAUCAUUGGAGGAAGGACGGGCUAAGUUCGUGCCAGCAGCCGCGGU
This 483-nucleotide ribosomal RNA is filed under the name uncultured bacterium. RNAcentral describes it as "bacterial SSU rRNA". It matches the Rfam family "Bacterial small subunit ribosomal RNA", at positions 29 to 521 of the family's 1533-position model. The record is from RNAcentral.